AAUUUGAAGUGCCUGACUGGGUGGCCGGGAGACGGAGUCUCGGGGUCGCGUGCACCUGGGCGGCCAGGGAGGCUCCAGUGCCCGGGAGAAAGGCAAGAAAACUGAGGCACAGAGAGAUUGUCACACAGCCAGUUUCUUUCAAAAUGAAGAUUCACGCAGUGAUUGUAACUGUCUUGAUGAGCCAGGUUGUAGUUUACAAAGUUUUAUUCCAGAAGGAAAAAAGCCACUUCACCUAGAAAUUUUGCAAACAAAUCAACUUUUACUCUGUGAGUAAUCCAGGGCCUAUCAAGACUACAUUUUAGUUGACUGCAAGGCCUCUGAGGCACGGGAAUUCACAGCUGAGUUCUUGGAGAAGGUCCUUGAGCCAUCUGGAUGGCGGACAGUCUGGCACAUGAUGUGCUCAAGGUGCUGCUUGAGGCCACAGAUGUGGACAUUUCAGCC
RNAcentral lists this long non-coding RNA (441 nucleotides) under Homo sapiens (human). Its description in RNAcentral is "non-protein coding lnc-UQCRFS1-3:16". The record is from RNAcentral. Lineage: Eukaryota; Metazoa; Chordata; Mammalia; Primates; Hominidae.